This is a long non-coding RNA of Anastrepha ludens (Mexican fruit fly), 659 nucleotides long. RefSeq lists it as uncharacterized. The record is from RefSeq and is a predicted model, not a curated record. Lineage: Eukaryota; Metazoa; Arthropoda; Insecta; Diptera; Tephritidae. The transcript is spliced from 3 exons.
AUAAUAAAGAACACUUCAGGCAAUUUGCCUGAAGUAUUUAAAAAAAACUAAAAUAAUAAUAAUUAGUUUAAUUUGUAUCUUGGUAUGAUAGAUGCAUAUGCUGCGGAAAGCGAUGAAAUAUUGAAGUCAACCAGCAGUGGACUUGAGCUAUUGUCCAUGCAGUGAAGCAAGAAAACAGUACCGGUUAUGGAUUUCACUAGUCCCGAUACGUUUGAAUAGAACGCAAGUUCUUUGGUGUACGGCAGCUUCAAUUGGGGGUUACAUUACAAAUGGAUCACUUUGCCAAGAGGCACUUUGAAGGAAGUUGAACAUUUUAAAUGAAAUUAACUAAUUUCAUGUAAACCAAUUUAUAUACAUACAUAUACCUAUAUGUGUUCUCCUUAUAGCCACGUAUCUAUGUUAUAUCAUUAUAACGUUAGCUUUGUGUAGUACACAACGCAGAGAACGUAAAUUCAUAGAGAAGGCUCAGGAAUGAAUGAGCCGGUUAAAUGUCAAAUGCUAACAAAACGCGGCUAAGAAAUUUUUGUUAUUUCAUCAUGGCCUUGGAAAAGUUUACAUAAGAGAGUUAACAUAGCGGAGCGUAGUCAACAGAAUUAAAUAUAGCGUUUGCAUUGAAAUGUAAAAUGCCAUGAUUUGGUGUUAGGCAAAAUAAAAUAACA